Molecule: ribosomal RNA, 321 nt
Filed under: Triticum aestivum (bread wheat)
Lineage: Eukaryota; Viridiplantae; Streptophyta; Magnoliopsida; Poales; Poaceae
Description: partial small subunit ribosomal RNA
Source: RNAcentral
AUGAGCGUGAGCAGCACCAGUUCAUCCGCCUCUACAUGGAGCGCUGGCGAGGUAGGCGUGGAGCAGCGGAUGCCCGUAGCUCCUCUCUUUGCCGCGCGCCGAGCUCGCCCGCUAGCGUUGGCCGGUGCACGCACGCACGCGCCGAGGUGUGCAGUGAGUCAGUGUCUCAGUGACCAAGGGAGCGGCUGUAGUGCAGGUGCACGCACGCAUGCGUUGACUGAAGCUGCUAGCGUAGAGCACGCACGCGCGCCAACAGGGCAGCGGCGGCCGGAGCACCACGCCGAGGUUCGCAGUGACCAGGGGACGCCGCGCGUUGACUAG